CAAACUCAGUGACAAUAGACACAAGAAUGCAUGCCAACAAGGUGACAGCCCAUGGGGGGAGGCUGCUCAGGGACAACAUCUGGUUCCCGAUCCAUGUAGAGAGGCCAGAGCUCUGCGGGAGGAAAAGGUGUUACAGUGUCUAGAGGAGACAAUGCCUGAUUCCUGGUCCAGUUCACUGCCUUCUCCUGGGAGCAGCAGCCCUCCCUGAACAGAGCCCUCCAGGCCUUAGACCACGGCCUUUGGAUCAACAGGAAAGCCUCAGUGAUUUGUUAGAAGGGUCCUGGGACUCACUUGCAGCCCAGGAACAGCCAGUGCAUCCAGAACCAGCUGACCACCAGCAUGAUGAUGGAUAUGGGGAAGCUGAAGAGGAACCAGGUGCCGAAGUUCACCACCUCUGCAGCUGGAUACUGGCUGGAGAGGAAAGAACCAGCCCCAGCCUGGCAACAGUCCUCUCAGACCUGGCUAAUCCUGGUGACAACCUGUAGGGCCAAACAGGUUGCUGAGCUCUGGAUUCUGGUGUGGGCUGAAGAAGCAAAUGUCCCUGCCCCCUCCAUGCCUGGCCACUGUAACUGGUUCUUCAUGAGACUAGGAGGUAUCUGGUGCAAAUGUCGGAAGCAGCCGCCACGCAGAUGACGCCCACCAGCAGCAGCGUGGUGUUCUUAAAGUACUCGGCUGCCACCUGUGGGGAGGCCAGCAUAGCUCACCCACCCCUCCCGGACCCAGGGCCGGCCCAUGCCCGGUAAAACUUGUCCUCAAAGAGGCUGGCAAAGAAGAGUAGGGAGGCGAAAAUUAUUAAAGUAGCUGAUCAUUUUAGAAUACCAUGGAGUGCCUACUGUGGGCGGGCACCGUACUAUGCAUUUUAUACAGAUUAUUUUAUUUAAAUCAGCCAGUAACCCCAUAAGUAGAUAUGCUUUUUAAAACAUAAACUCACUAUAUUUAAGUCUGAUAUAUCAUUUGAAAGAACAGAUACAUAUCAUUUUAUACUAGUUUUUAAAGAUUAUUAGACUUUGUUUUUAGAACAAAAUUAUUAGAAUUUGGUGCUAAUAUUUUUCGAACAUUAAAAAUUUAAUGUUUUUAGAAAUUAAAAAAAAUUAUUUUUAUUUCUACUAAAAAUGUAACAUAUGCUCAGUAUGGAAAACUUAAAAAUAUAGAAAAUUUUGAAGAUGAAGUUACUCCUAAUCCUACCACUAUUAAUUCUUUGGCAUAUUUCUUUCAAUUCCUUUUUUAACAUUUCUAUAUAGAUACAUAAGUGAGUUUAUAGAAUAUAUAUAUGGUUUUAUAGCUUGCCUUUUUUCCAUUUCAUAUCAUACCCUGAUCAUUAUCUUAUGAGGCUUAAAUUAUUGGAAAAAUUCAUUUUAAUGGCAGCAUAAUGUACCAUUCUGUGUCAAAUUAAUUUUAAUGGCAACAUGAUGCACCAUAGAAUAUGUUCAGCCACUUGCCUGUAAUUGAAUAUUUAGUUUGUCUUCUUUUUUCCUUUUUGCUACUACAAAUAAAGCAAAGAAUAUUUUUCUGCAUAAAUCAUUAUUCUUAUAUAAAUGCAGUUAUUUUAUUAUGAUAGAAUUCUUGAAGAUAUUUUUAUAACUUAAAUCUUUAAACAUUUUUUAAUAUAAAUAAUUCUAAUAAUUUCUUUCUUUUUUUUUUUUUUUUGGUUUUUGGCCGGGGCUGGGUUUGAACCCACCACCUCCGGCAUAUGGGACCAGCGCCCUACUCCUUGAGCCACAGGCGCCUCCCAUAAUUCUAAUAAUUUCAAAGUUCCAGAGAACUCCCAAAAUGCAAGUAGUACACAGAAUACCCUUACACUAUCUGUCGAGAUUUUUUUCUGAAUCAUUUCAGGGUAAGUUACACACAUUUUGGUUCUUUACUCUUAGAUACAUCAAUGUAUAUUUUCUAAGAAUAGGGAUUUUCUUUUCCAUAACCACAGCACCAGUUAUAAACUUUCUACUUUUUAAUGAUGAGGAAAUUGAGAGAGAGGCCAGUUAAAAAGAUAUUUCAUAUAUUCGAGUUGCAUGGACCAAACCCUCCUGUGGAUUCCCUCACUUGGAAAGUUCUCUUUUUCCAUCUCUCCCUGUAUAUUCCGAUCACAUGUCAAAGCCCAAUUCAGGCCUGGUGCCCUCCAGAAAACCUUUGUGGCUAUAGCCUCUGAUUCCAGAACAUUCCCUGUGGGCACUAUUAAUUCCACAUACCACAGAGCACUUGAGGCAAUGACUGAAUUGCCUCUCAACUAAAUUUUAGGCUGUUAAUGUUUCCCUUCUGUAUUUCUUAACACCUAGUAGAAUAAUAGUAUGUAGUAAUAAUGUUAGUAUUAUAGCAAAAGUAGAUGCUCAAUAAAUAUUCAUCAUAUACAUGAGAAUUACUGCCAACUGGAGGAACCAUGACAGAAAUGGAGAGGAAAAGAUACAGAAAAGUUUAACUUUGAAUUGAAAAACUUUUUUUUUUUUUUGAGACAAGAGUCUCACUAUGUUGCCCUCGGUAGAGUGCUGUGGCAUCAUAGCUCAUAGCAGCCUCAAACUCUUGGGCUUAGGCCAUUCUCUUGCCUCAGCCUCCCAAGUAGCUGGGACUACAGGUGCCUGCCACAAUGCCCACCUAUUUUUUUGUUGCAGUUGUCAAUGUUGUUUAAGCUGGCCCAGGGUUUGAACCCGCCAGCCUGGGUAUAUGUGGCUGGUGCCCUACCGAUUGAGCUACAGGCACCACCCUGAAAAACUAUUUUAAAGUGAUAAAAUAAGGACAUCUGAAAUUCAGAAAAAAACAAAAAUUGAACACAGGAAAUUUAAAUACAGUAAAAUACAUGGUGUUUGAAUUAAACAGUAUUUACAUAAUUAUACUAAUGUUAAACUUUGAUUAUGGUAUUAAUAAAAAUUGUGAUCAAACUAUAUUGAGAGGGUGGAGGAAGGAUAAGUAGGGAAUGGAAAAGGAACAAAAUCUUCAUCUGCUGUAAAAGGAAAUCAACUGGUGACAUCUAAAAAUGAGAACUCAAGAACUAAUAUAAGAAUAUCAUACAGGAGGCCAGGCGUGGUGGCUCCUAUAGUCCUAGUACUCUGGGAGACUGAAGUGGGAAGACUGCUUGAGGUCAGGAGUUCAAGACCAGCCUGAGCAAGAAUGAGAUCUCCCCCCUCAUCUCUACAAAAGAUAAAAAAAAAAAAAAUAGCCAACUAAGGUUGGGAGGCUGAGGCAGGAGGAUCACUUGAGUCCAGGAGUUUGAGGUUGCAGUGAGCUAUGACGACACCACUGUAAUCUAGCCCAGUGAUGGGCGACAAACAAAUGUCUCAAAACAAAACAAAAAACCGUAAGAAUAUGGAACUUAAUACCAGAAGAAACAGUUAGCAAAGUUAAGAGUUAUGGACUGAGGGAGGGGUGGGCCUCGGUGGGGGCGGGGCAGUGCAGGUUUCCACUGUAGGCUUUGCAGUAUUACGGCAUUCAAUUGCUAAACUUUGUGCAUGUAACACUUUGCUAACAUGGAAACCAAAAUAAAGGCAACCUGUUUCAUUUCUCCCUUUUCUCUUUUGCCCCAUAGAAAUUUCAGUGUAUCUGAUGAUGGAAGAGAAACACCUGCUCUGUGGGACCAUGUCUCUCUGCCUCUGGUUAACCUCCUUCAUCGCAGGGCUUGGGGUCUCCCAUCUUUCUCAGGCUUGUUACCUACACAGGCUUCCAGGAGGUAACUCUGGAGAACAACUGGGGCUUUAUUUUCCUCUGUCUACUGCAGAGGGAAACCCACAGAAGACACAAGACAUGGAAGUUCCAGGUGACGGUCCCUCCACAGGCCCCAUGACACACAGGCCUCUGUGCAGCUAUCAAAGAGUCAGUGCUACCAGGGUCACUUGCCCAGGAGAAUCACGGACAACAUGUCAGUUUUCUGCCUCUUUGGCACAUGCCUUUCUAGAACCAGUUUGUCUGUAAUGGCCUUUUAGGAGGCUCAGUGCCUAGACGACAGGUGGGCUACUUUCUCUAGGUUCUGCUCACAGGGAGGGGAAGGCAGCCAGCAGGUAGACAGAGCCUUGCCUGGGCGAGGCAUUUCACAUUUCGAAUUCAUUUUCUCAUUUGAGCUCCACAACGGUCUUACAAGGCAGGUACUAGUAGUGUCUUAUUUUACAGAUCAGGAAACUCAGAGAGACUAAGGAACAUUCCCAAGGUCACUGUGGGGCACAGGCAGGAUACUAGUCCAGGUCCAUCUAAUCUAGAGCCUACUAGACGACGUGCCACCAUCAUCUGAUUCGGCUCCAGGGGCAUUUUCUGGGUCUUGCAGACAGCACGGCUGGCACUCAUUUCUCAUCUUCAUUCAUGCUCACAGUCCGCCCUGGCCCUAAAGACCAAGGCCUCAGUGGGAUGGUGGCUCUGCACUGUCUCCUCACUGGGUGUUGGGGGUCUUCAGUCUACUCACACACCUUCCUGCCCCCUUGUAAAUGGUGCCAUGUGCUUGAGAGACACAGCUGGGGCUCAGGAUGGAUCUGUGAUGACAGAGGUAGCACAGUCAAGUGGGGAAGAGUGAGGACUCUGGAGUCAGUCAGGACUCAGCUGUGUGACUCUAGGCAAGUUAUUCAACCUCUCUGGGCUUCAUUUUCUCAUUAAAAAAAAAAAAUGAAGGUUAUGUGAGUUCCUCACCUUGUAGGGUGGUUGCUAAGAUUAAACGACACAUGCAAACCAGCUUUGGUGGCCAGGACUCUGGUGACGCUUCCUGUUACUAAAUGCUCCAGACAAAGGCUGGCCUGGUGGGAGACCAGGAGCACACAGAGUGGGCCCAGGAACACAGCAAAGCUGCAGGGCUGCUUCUUAUUUUUGUAAAGUCUAAUCCCAUUCACUGGUGGUGUUUGUUAGCUUUCUAGCCCAUUGAUUUUUCUUUCACAGGAACAGCUUGGUUGUGCAGGACCCCUUAGGGACCACCAGAGUUUCAGGAUUCUUGGGGGCUAUUUAAAUCGUUUUCUAGAAUGUGUUGCUUACUUCCUGCCUUAGUCACUAGAGCCCAUGCACUCUCCUGCCUCUAGUCAGAACUGUGCCCCCUCUCCCAGCUGCCCCCUCAUCGCUCUGGCACUAGGCUAGUUGUCCCGACUGCUGGCCCUUCUUUGGUCUCAGGUCUGCAUUUUAAAGUUUUUCUGUCUCAUUCUGAGGCUGUUGCAGCCUCCCGUUGUGAGCCCCCUUGCCGCUAGCAUUCCUUUCCCCACUUUGUAAUUUCCCAGACUAAUACUCUGUGAAUAUGGAAACCAGACAGAUGAAGCUUGUUUGAGUUAUUUGAAAAAAGAAAUUAGAUGCCAAAAAGGCACUUCUCCCAGGAGUAAAGUGCAUGGACUUUGUGACAUUUGUGCUGGUGGUUUGAUCACUUUUUCUGCUUGGUGGUUUUCCUCAGUAUGCCGAAUCACCAGACUUGGAGAACAGAGGUGUUUCUGGACUGUGUUCUAGACAAGAAGGGCUCAAAAGGAGGUCGCCCUGGAAAGAGGGCGGCAGUGACAAGCCUGGGCUCUGGGGUUCAGAUGAUGUGGUCCCGAGUCAGGGUCCCCCACAGAUGAGAUUGUUUGCUGCUGGAUAAGCUAACGAAUCUCUGUAGCCCUGUCACUUCAACUUGUUAAGUGGCAAUGGUGAUGCCGCAUAGCUCGGGUGAUUGCUGUGACGUGGGCCUCGGGUAAGAUAAUGCAGGCGGCUCUCAGGAUGGUACCCGGUGCAUCUGAUGUGUUCAGUAAAUGUUAUUAUCAUUAAAGAGAUAAAAAGACAUUAAAGGUUCAGGCUGAACGUGAGGGUUGGGAUCAGCAAGGCCUGCAAGAGCAAGUGAAGGGACCAGAGAAAAGAAAUGACCUAAGAAGGAACAAGACUGACCUCAAAGACGAAGACGCCACCGAGUUUUCUUAAGUGAAGGGUGACGGCAUCAAAGGGGCUUUCUGACCGGGCUGGACUGGGCAGCAAGGAGAGAAACUGGUCGCCCGUAGGUGAAUGAAUUGCAGGUGGUGUCAGUUAGGGCCGAGCUUUAAAGAACAUUACUUUCUCUGCACCAGAAUUAUUUAUUGCUCUCUAGUAUGUUACGUUCUUUUUUAAAUUUUAAUUAAGGUUUUUAAAAAGUUCGGGGAGCUUGUGGCUGUUUUAGAAGUUUGAGAAGAAGGGAAGUCUGGUGUUAACCUCAGCUCACAGUUUUCCUAAGAAUACUUGAUCCUCCUCCGGAGUGUCCCCACAGGAGGGAAAUGGAGCUGGACCAGCCAUGCGCUCCUCCCUGCCUCUAAGCCAGGCCCCGGACAGGCCCUGGCUACAGGGAACAGUCUAAAACCCCCCAAAUCCCCAGAAUAACAGAAAGGUGGGCUUUCCUGUUACUCUCAUUUUUCAGAUGAGUCAAUGGCAGUUAGGAGAGGUUAUAUAACCUGCUCAAGACUAGUCAGUGUCAGAAAAAGGAAAAUUCGGGCGGUGCCUGGGGCUCAGUGAGUAGGGCGCCAGCCCCAUAUACCGAGGGUGGUGGGUUCAAACCCAGCCCCGGCCAAACUGUAACAAAAAAAUAUCCGGGCGUCAUGGUGGCACCCAGCUACUCGGGAGGCUGAGGCAAGAGAAUCGCCUAAGCCCAAGGAUUUGGAGGUUGCUGUGACAGCACAGCACUCUACUGAGGGUUAAUAAGUGAAACUCUGUCUCAAAAAAAAAAAAAAUUAAUUAAUUAAAAAAAAGGAAAAUUCAGGGCGGUGCCUGUGGCUCAGUAGGUAAGGCGCCGGCCCCAUAUACCGAGGGUGGCGGGUUCAAACCCAGCCCUGGCUGAACUGCAACCAAAAAAUAGCUGGGCGUUGUGGCGGGCGCCUGUAGUCCCAGCUACUCGGGAGGCUGAGGCAAGAGAAUCGCUUAAGCCCAGGAGUUGGAGGUUGCUGUGAGCUGUGUGAUGCCAUGGCACUCUACUGAGGGCCAUAAAGUGAGACUCUAUCUCUACCAAAAAAAAAAAAAAAAGGAAAAUUCAAAAGAAAAAUUUAGCAAUGACCCACGAAGGCUGCAAUGGGGCACAAGGAUUGAACCCAGGCCUAGCAACUAACCCUCACCUCUUGCUGCCUGAGUAACUGGAAUUUGUUACCAUUUCACUGGUAGAUACUGGUUAUAAACCUGCUUGUCAGAUACAGAACAUGGACAGGAUGGAAUAGCCCCCUCCAUCGACCCCCACCAGACCCUAUGACGACCUCGUCUUUUGUGUGGGUCCCUGAGCGCCACUCAGGAUCACGAGAAUGGACCUGCUGCUUCUCUAGCCACGCCUCCCACCUGCGUGCCACACAGAUCCAGUUAGAUGUCUCACUUCAGGACGCCUUCUCAUCUCCACUGCGUCUGCAGGCAUACAUCCUCGAACUCGGCU
Nycticebus coucang (slow loris) is the source of this 7291-nucleotide long non-coding RNA. RefSeq lists it as uncharacterized. The record is from RefSeq and is a predicted model, not a curated record. Lineage: Eukaryota; Metazoa; Chordata; Mammalia; Primates; Lorisidae. The transcript has 4 exons.